UUUUCAGCUCCUAGCUCAGAGCAUCACAUCCAGGACUCAUCCUUACAUGCAGCGUGUUGAAUGAAUGUUCUCCCGCUGGAUAGCAGAGAAGAACACUGGUGAUAAAGUUAGUGUCAAGAGUUUGAAUCCUGGCUCAACCCCCUGCUGGACGGGUAAAGUCUGGCACAUCGGCAGCACCAUGCAGGACACAGAAGGGCCAGGCUGAUGUGGUCAGGCCAAGGGAAGGGGCAGUAUUUGGCAAAAGAAACCAGCAAUGCCCAGGAAAGACACACUG
Long non-coding RNA from Ailuropoda melanoleuca (giant panda), 274 nucleotides. RefSeq lists it as uncharacterized. The transcript has 2 exons. Lineage: Eukaryota; Metazoa; Chordata; Mammalia; Carnivora; Ursidae. The record is from RefSeq and is a predicted model, not a curated record.